Molecule: transfer RNA, 87 nt
Filed under: Eggerthella sp.
Lineage: Bacteria; Bacillati; Actinomycetota; Coriobacteriia; Eggerthellales; Eggerthellaceae
Description: tRNA-Leu
Rfam family: tRNA
About the family: Transfer RNA (tRNA) molecules are approximately 80 nucleotides in length. Their secondary structure includes four short double-helical elements and three loops (D, anti-codon, and T loops).
Source: RNAcentral
GCGGGCGUGGCGGAAUUGGCAGACGCGCUAGCUUCAGGUGCUAGUGAGCGCCGGCUCGUGAUGGUUCAAGACCUUUCGCCCGCACCA